UACGGAGGGGGCAAGCGUUAUUCGGAAUUAUUGGGCGUAAAGGGCGCGUAGGCGGCUAGAUGUGUCAAAGGUGAAAUCCCUCGGCUCAACUGAGGAACUGCCUUUGAAACUGUCUGGCUUGAGGCCGGGAGAGGGUAGCGGAAUUCCCAGUGUAGCGGUGAAAUGCGUAGAUAUUGGGAGGAACACCAGUGGCGAAGGCGGCUACCUGGACCGGUUCUGACGCUGAUGCGCGAAAGCGUGGGUAGCAAACAGG
Molecule: ribosomal RNA, 253 nt
Filed under: uncultured bacterium
Lineage: Bacteria
Description: partial 16S ribosomal RNA
Rfam family: Bacterial small subunit ribosomal RNA
Source: RNAcentral